GUGCAGCUCACGCUUUGGGGCUCUUCUGCAGAUCCCCCUCCCUUAUCCACCGAAUACCAACUUUCUAUAAAUCUGGUUAGCAGGCCAGUCUUCUUCCCCACAAAUCAUUCCUUUAUACCAAGGCAUUGCAUAUACUACCGCAGCAACAAUAUGAGCUCUCGGCAGCGUUGUGUGGUCUUCAACUUCAUCUUCUUGAUGGCCUUCUUGGUUGUUCUCUCUUAUGUGUCUAUGGUGGAGGGCUCGAGACCGUUACAUGAUCACCACCGCCGUUCGAUGUCUUCUACAGCUUUCAGGCUUGCAAGGGCGUACUCUGGACCAAGUCACCGAGGUCCUGGGCACUGAUUCUAUGUGUUCUUUGGGAUCGUUUGCUCGUUCCAAAUUUUGUUUAAUCAACUUAUUGAAGAUGUGUUUUUCUUUUUUUUUGUUCUUUUGAUGUAAGGUAUUUUUUUUUUUCCUUUUUUGGGUGAGAGAAUAUUGAAGAGUUCGACAAUUGUCUUUGUGAAGCUUUAUUUUAAAAUAUUCAUAGAGGACCGCUUGAGUACCAACAUUUGGACUUGUUUGUGCCUUUAACUUCCUUUCUUUUGUAAAUGUUUCAUUUGUUCGUCAAGUUUUAUGUUCAGUUUUGUGUAUUUAAGGGGUCUAUCAACUAAAUCCGGAAACAGUGACG
RNAcentral lists this long non-coding RNA (667 nucleotides) under Elaeis guineensis (African oil palm). RNAcentral's name for it is "long non-coding RNA (EGUI_LNC032639)". Lineage: Eukaryota; Viridiplantae; Streptophyta; Magnoliopsida; Arecales; Arecaceae. The record is from RNAcentral.